CACAGGACUGAUAGCCCUAUAAACACAGGUCAGGUGGGAGGGUAUUAGUAGAAUAAGCUUAGGAUGUUGGUUAAGCCCUUUCCUCAUCACCCGCCUCUGUCACCAGUUUUCUCCUCAGCCUCCAGAGCUGGUAGAGUCAAUCCUUGUUCUGCUCCAUCUCUUUUCUAUCAUCGUUGAAGAGGAAUGCUUUCAGUACCUUGUUGGGUUCUUCCACGUAUGGCCUCAGUAGAGCUAGGUUUCAUUGUCUUUCUUCUGUUAGCUUGGUACACUCUAGCAUAAAAUGGACUUCAUUUCCUUCCUCUUUUCCACAGAGCUUAAUUACCGUUAUCACCUCAUCCACCGUCUGCUCAAUGUGUGAGGAAUACGGAGACAAAGGCUGCUUGAUAAUUAAACAAGUUCUGUGUUUUCUCAGGAAGUUCAUUGCUGGCAGUGGUUCAGGAGACAGUGGUUCGAUCCCAGCUGUAGAACGUCACCUGCAGGAAGUAGCAUUGUGAUGGCCAGCCACGAGGCGCGUUUAUCCAGCCACAUUGUCCAGAAACCAUCACAUCAUCUCCAGGUCACUGGUCGCUGGUGCUCGAGUUGACUGUGUCUUCAACGGCUCCACGGUGACCAGCGCCGCCACCGCCGAGACCAUCCGAUUCCUGAAAUGAUAAUGGCCGUACACGAACAAGAGGCUCUAUGCAUCCAGAUGCAAGUCAAGCGCCAUGCUCAGAGGCGUCAUCCGGAGAAGGUCGCACAGUGCACUUUAGGCUGAGCUCGGGUGUAGUGCGCGCUGACGGAUAGGAUGAAAUUACGGGCCGGCCAUCAGAUUUCAGUGCGGGGAUCAAGAUGGUCGGAGCCGACGUGGCUCGGUUGAUGGUGUGCCAGGGUUAAUUGAGAGUGGAGGCGAGACACCCGGAUCUGUGAAGGAUACGCCAAUACGGGUCUCGACGUCGUCUCGCAAUUUGUGCUAUGUAAUAUGACGGCUAUGCCGUGGUAUCAUUCACUCUCGAUGCGCUAAUAAAUAAUAAAUAGGACAGACUGGAAUUAAUAUUAUUAUAUUUGGAUGUAAGGGGCAGGUUUUGGCCAGCGCUAUAUUAGAAAUCGUGAGCGUGCUAGUUGCAAUUAAUCGCGCGCUUCCUGCUGAGCAUCUGUGAGCGAGAAAAUACUUUCUCUGGAACGUUCGUCGUAAAAUAUGUGUAUCUUUGGAAUAAGUUGUCAGAACAUGAAUGAAUUUUUUGUGUCCACUGCAGCUGCUGUUCUGGAACAGAAACAUGCCGAGAUCGGUUGUGUAUGUACUAUGUACGCUGUAGCAAAAUCAAGCAGCCGUACCAUGAAUCAAAAGCGAUAUGUGAAUUAAAGUGGAUAUUUUUCA
RNAcentral lists this long non-coding RNA (1354 nucleotides) under Amphibalanus amphitrite. Its description in RNAcentral is "uncharacterized LOC122387271, transcript variant X3". Lineage: Eukaryota; Metazoa; Arthropoda; Thecostraca; Balanomorpha; Balanidae. The record is from RNAcentral.